CCUACGGGAGGCAGCAGUGGGGGAUAUUGCACAAUGGGCGCAACCCUGAUGCAGCGACGCCGCGUGGGUGAAGAAGCGCCUCGGCGCGUAAAGCCCUGUCAGCAGGGAAGAAAAUGACGGUACCUGAAGAAGAAGCCCCGGCUAACUACGUGCCACGAGCCGCGGUAAUACGUAGGGGGCCAGCGUUAUCCGGAUUUACUGGGUGUAAAGGGGGCGCAGACGGCGAUGCAAGCCAGGAGUGAAAGCCCGGGGGCCAACCCCGGGACUGCUCUUGGAACUGCGUGGCUAGAGUGCAGGAGGGGCAGGCGGAAUUCCUGGUGUAGCGGUGAAAUGCGUAGAUAUCAGGAGGAACACCGGUGGCGAAGGCGGCCUGCUGGACUGCAACUGACGUUGAGGCCCGAAAGCGUGGGGAGCAAACAGGAUUAGAUACCCUUGUAGUC
Molecule: ribosomal RNA, 440 nt
Filed under: uncultured bacterium
Lineage: Bacteria
Description: partial 16S ribosomal RNA
Rfam family: Bacterial small subunit ribosomal RNA
Source: RNAcentral